Molecule: unclassified non-coding RNA, 211 nt
Filed under: Hevea brasiliensis (rubber tree)
Lineage: Eukaryota; Viridiplantae; Streptophyta; Magnoliopsida; Malpighiales; Euphorbiaceae
Source: RNAcentral
GGAUGUAUAGCUUCCAGUUGUAUUUGUCUUAGCAGAUCCAGCCGAAUGGGAAUUUCCAUAGAGAGAAAGAGGUAGCCAUCCUGACGGUCCUUCAACAGUACUUGAAUCUUUCCCAUGCCCAUGGCGACGUUUAGCAACAACAAAGAAACCAAUGAUCAGAGCUAAAACAACUGCUCCACAAACAACUCCAGCAAUCACCCCUGACUUCUUU